GAUGAACGCUGGCGGCGUGCCUAAUACAUGCAAGUCGAGCGAACAGAUGAGGAGCUUGCUCCUCUGACGUUAGCGGCGGACGGGUGAGUAACACGUGGAUAACCUACCUAUAAGACUAGGAUAACUACGGGAAACCGGAGCUAAUACCGGAUAAUAUAUUGAACCGCAUGGUUCAAUAGUGAAAGACGGUUUUGCUGUCACUUAUAGAUGGAUCCGCGCCGCAUUAGCUAGUUGGUAAGGUAACGGCUUACCAAGGCAACGAUGCGUAGCCGACCUGAGAGGGUGAUCGGCCACACUGGAACUGAGACACGGUCCAGACUCCUACGGGAGGCAGCAGUAGGGAAUCUUCCGCAAUGGGCGAAAGCCUGACGGAGCAACGCCGCGUGAGUGAUGAAGGUCUUCGGAUCGUAAAACUCUGUUAUUAGGGAAGAACAAAUGUGUAAGUAACUAUGCACGUCUUGACGGUACCUAAUCAGAAAGCCACGGCUAACUACGUG
RNAcentral lists this ribosomal RNA (497 nucleotides) under uncultured bacterium. RNAcentral describes it as "partial 16S ribosomal RNA". It matches the Rfam family "Bacterial small subunit ribosomal RNA", at positions 28 to 507 of the family's 1533-position model. The record is from RNAcentral.